CGUGCCAAAAGUACGUCUGGGGCCACCUUCCCCGUUCUGAGGAAGCUAGUACUCGUUCACUUUGUCCCAGACCUUUGUGAAGUGUGGAGUGCGCGGACUUUUAUCCCGGGUUCCCCUGUCCAGUCCUGAGAUCUCGUCGAAGUUAGAAGUUUGUGUGUGCGAAGUAGUUAGCCUAGUGCGCGGCCUAGCUAGAGAUCAGUUCGAAGGCUUCGCUUCUCUCGCCCUACCAGCCAAGCAGCACCAGAAGGAGAUCGAGCGCGCGUCCACCACCGCCCCACAUCGAGUAUGGGACAAGUUUCAUCCCGGCACACGCUACAUCGCCGGAAGCGACGAGCCGUCAACAUCUCGUCUGGAGGAGGGUCUCGGACCCCCUGGCGGUUCCAUCCGCCCACGUGCUGGCCGGAAAGUCCAUUCCCAGCCCGCGCAACAUCAUCGAAGUCGACCGCGCGAACGUAGGUCGAAUCGGCAGCGUCGUCCGCGCCGUCCGCGAGC
This is a long non-coding RNA of Culex pipiens pallens (northern house mosquito), 492 nucleotides long. RefSeq lists it as uncharacterized. The record is from RefSeq and is a predicted model, not a curated record. The transcript is spliced from 3 exons. Lineage: Eukaryota; Metazoa; Arthropoda; Insecta; Diptera; Culicidae.